This 542-nucleotide ribosomal RNA is filed under the name uncultured archaeon. RNAcentral's name for it is "bacterial SSU rRNA". It matches the Rfam family "Archaeal small subunit ribosomal RNA", at positions 457 to 997 of the family's 1478-position model. The record is from RNAcentral.
GCCAGCAGCCGCGGUAACACCGGCGGCCCGAGUGGUGAUCGUGAUUAUUGGGCUAAAGGGUCCGUAGCCGGUUUGGUCAGUCCUCCGGGAAAUCUGAUAGCUCAACUAUUAGGGCUUUCGGGGGAUACUGCCAGACUUGGAACCGGGAGAGGUAAGAGGUACUACAGGGGUAGGAGUGAAAUCUUGUAAUCCCUGUGGGACCACCUGUGGCGAAGGCGUCUUACCAGAACGGGUUCGACGGUGAGGGACGAAAGCUGGGGGCACGAACCGGAUUAGAUACCCGGGUAGUCCCAGCCGUAAACGAUGCUCGCUAGGUGUCAGGCAUGGCGCGACCGUGUCUGGUGCCGCAGGGAAGCCGUGAAGCGAGCCACCUGGGAAGUACGGCCGCAAGGCUGAAACUUAAAGGAAUUGGCGGGGGAGCACAACAACGGGUGGAGCCCUGCGGUUUAAUUGGACUCAACGCCGGACAACUCACCGGGGGCGACAGCAAUAUGUAGGCCAAGCUGAAGACUUUGCCUGAAUCGCUGAGGAGUGGUGCAUGG